Molecule: ribosomal RNA, 1020 nt
Filed under: Candidatus Omnitrophota bacterium
Lineage: Bacteria; Pseudomonadati; Candidatus Omnitrophota
Description: Candidatus Omnitrophica bacterium (groundwater metagenome) partial 23S ribosomal RNA
Rfam family: Bacterial large subunit ribosomal RNA
Source: RNAcentral
GGCUGGAGAAGGUCCCAAGGGUCCGGCUGUUCGCCGGUUAAAGCGGUACGCGAGCUGGGUUUAGAACGUCGUGAGACAGUAACCGAAGGGUGAGCUGUCGUUAAACUUGGCUAUAUGCUGGGAACUCUGAGUAUCUCGCACUACUCGAAGGAGUGAAAACGUGACGAGUGCAGACAACCAGCAGGAAAGGCCAGACGAGGGGCUUUGCCAGUACGUCGCGGGCUUCGUUGAUGGCGAAGGCAGCUUCCACGUAGCGUUUCAGCGUAGUCGGUUCACGAGACUGGGGCUUCAGGUCAUUCCGGAGUUCCAUGUGUCGCAGAAUCCCGAACGCGCUGAAGUGCUCAAGCUGAUCCAAGAGGUGUUGGGGUGCGGUUAUAUCAAGGCGAAUCACCCGGGCAGCUCUCGAGAUCAGAGCGUGGUGCUGGUCGUUCGCAAUCGACAAGACCUGGCAAAGCGGGUCCUGCCGUUCUUCGAAAGGUUCCCGUUGCGAUCGUCAAAGCAACGGGAGUUUCAGACGUUCGCCGCGGUUGUUCAUGCCAUGGAACGCGGUGAGCACCUGACGAAGGACGGAAUGGCUCAGAUCCUGCAGCGGGCGUUUGCGAUGAACAGCGGAAGAUAUCGCAAGCGCAAGUUGCAAGAUCACCUGAACGUUCUGGAAUCCUCAGAGACUGUACGCCAGGCCCCCGCCACAAAGCGGGGAAAGAUACAGUCCGGCCUGCAUGGCGACAUGCAGAGGUUGGCAGAAAUGACCAGCCCGCCCGUGAACGUCGUAGUACGAGAGGACCCGGGCAAACGGACCUCCGGUGUCCCAGUUGUUCCGCCAGGAGCAUCGCUGGGUAGUCGUGUCCGGAACGGAUAAGCGCUGAAUGCAUCUAAGCGCCAAGCCUCCUCCAAGACGAGGUUUCCCGGGGCGCAAGCCCCCUGAAGGCCCCUGGCAGACUACCAGGUUGAUAGGCUGCAGGUGUAAGGCCCGUGAGGGUUUUAGCCAAGCAGUACUAAUCGGCCGUGCGGCUUAACUAC